GUGAAUCAUCGAAUUUUUGAACGCAUAUUGCACUCUCUGGGAUUCCGGAGAGUGUGUCUGUUUGAGGGUAAUUAAAAACAAUCUUUUACCAAUUUUUUUGGUCAAAGGAUAUGAGUUCUCCGCGUCUUUAGCGGUAGUUUGAUAUACAUGGUCAAGUUUCAUUUUAGUCGAGUCGCGUAAUAAUAUUAUUUCGCCAAUUCAUCAUUAUGUUAU
This 213-nucleotide unclassified non-coding RNA is filed under the name Glomeromycetes sp. RNAcentral describes it as "partial contains 5.8S ribosomal RNA and internal transcribed spacer 2". The stretch from base 1 to 71 matches the Rfam family "5.8S ribosomal RNA", at positions 84 to 154 of the family's 154-position model. Lineage: Eukaryota; Fungi; Glomeromycota; Glomeromycetes. The record is from RNAcentral.